GAGAAGGUGGCGGAAUUGGUAGACGCGCUAGCUUCAGGUGUUAGUGUCCUUACGGACGUGGGGGUUCAAGUCCCCCCCCUCGCACCA
Molecule: transfer RNA, 87 nt
Filed under: Escherichia coli CAG:4
Lineage: Bacteria; Pseudomonadati; Pseudomonadota; Gammaproteobacteria; Enterobacterales; Enterobacteriaceae
Description: transfer RNA-Leu(CAG)
Rfam family: tRNA
About the family: Transfer RNA (tRNA) molecules are approximately 80 nucleotides in length.
Source: RNAcentral